AACGAACGCUGGCGGCAUGCCUAACACAUGCAAGUCGAACGAGACCUUCGGGUCUAGUGGCGCACGGGUGCGUAACGCGUGGGAAUCUGCCCUUGGUUCGGAAUAACAGUCAGAAAUGACUGCUAAUACCGGAUAAUGUCUUCGGACCAAAGAUUUAUCGCCCAGGGAUGAGCCCGCGUAGGAUUAGCUAGUUGGUGAGGUAAAGGCUCACCAAGGCGACGAUCCUUAGCUGGUCUGAGAGGAUGAUCAGCCACACUGGGACUGAGACACGGCCCAGACUCCUACGGGAGGCAGCAGUGGGGAAUAUUGGACAAUGGGCGAAAGCCUGAUCCAGCAAUGCCGCGUGAGUGAUGAAGGCCUUAGGGUUGUAAAGCUCUUUUACCCGGGAUGAUAAUGACAGUACCGGGAGAAUAAGCCCCGGCUAACUCCGUGCCAGCAGCCGCGGUAA
RNAcentral lists this ribosomal RNA (448 nucleotides) under uncultured bacterium. RNAcentral describes it as "bacterial SSU rRNA". It matches the Rfam family "Bacterial small subunit ribosomal RNA", at positions 29 to 523 of the family's 1533-position model. The record is from RNAcentral.